Molecule: ribosomal RNA, 508 nt
Filed under: uncultured Pantoea sp.
Lineage: Bacteria; Pseudomonadati; Pseudomonadota; Gammaproteobacteria; Enterobacterales; Erwiniaceae
Description: bacterial SSU rRNA
Rfam family: Bacterial small subunit ribosomal RNA
Source: RNAcentral
GGCGGCAGGCCUAACACAUGCAAGUCGGACGGUAGCACAGAGGAGCUUGCUCCUCGGGUGACGAGUGGCGGACGGGUGAGUAAUGUCUGGGGAUCUGCCCGAUAGAGGGGGAUAACCACUGGAAACGGUGGCUAAUACCGCAUAACGUCGCAAGACCAAAGAGGGGGACCUUCGGGCCUCUCACUAUCAGAUGAACCCAGAUGGGAUUAGCUAGUAGGCGGGGUAACGGCCCACCUAGGCGACGAUCCCUAGCUGGUCUGAGAGGAUGACCAGCCACACUGGAACUGAGACACGGUCCAGACUCCUACGGGAGGCAGCAGUGGGGAAUAUUGCACAAUGGGCGCAAGCCUGAUGCAGCCAUGCCGCGUGUAUGAAGAAGGCCUUCGGGUUGUAAAGUACUUUCAGCGGGGAGGAAGGCAGUGAGGUUAAUAACCUUACUGAUUGACGUUACCCGCAGAAGAAGCACCGGCUAACUCCGUGCCAGCAGCCGCGGUAAUACGGAGGGUGC